CCAAUAGCGUAUAUUAAAGUUGUUGUGGUUAAAAAGCUCGUAGUUGAACCUUGGGCCUGGCUGGCCGGUCCGCCUCACCGCGUGUACUGGCCCGGCCGGGCCUUUCCCUCUGUGGAACCCCAUGCCCUUCACUGGGUGUGGCGGGGAAACAGGACUUUUACUUUGAAAAAAUUAGAGUGCUCCAGGCAGGCCUAUGCUCGAAUACAUUAGCAUGGGAUAAUAGAAUAGGACGUGUGGUUCUAUUUUGUUGGUUUCUAGGACCGCCGUAAUGAUUAAUAGGGACAGUCGGGGGCAUCAGUAUUCAAUUGUCAGAGGUGAAAUUCUUGGAUUUAUUGAAGACUAACUACUGCGAAAGCAUUUGCCAAGGAUGUUUUCAUUAAUCAGGAACGAAAGUUAGGGGAUCGAAGACGAUCAGAUACCGUCGUAGUCUUAACCAUAAACUAUGCCGACUAGGGAUCGGACGAUGUUACUUAUUGACUCGUUCGGCACCUUACG
This 495-nucleotide ribosomal RNA is filed under the name uncultured Glomeromycotina. Its description in RNAcentral is "partial small subunit ribosomal RNA". It matches the Rfam family "Eukaryotic small subunit ribosomal RNA", at positions 591 to 1092 of the family's 1831-position model. Lineage: Eukaryota; Fungi; Glomeromycota. The record is from RNAcentral.